Molecule: unclassified non-coding RNA, 236 nt
Filed under: plant metagenome
Description: partial contains small subunit ribosomal RNA, internal transcribed spacer 1, and 5.8S ribosomal RNA
Source: RNAcentral
UUUCCGUAGGUGAACCUGCGGAAGGAUCAUUAAUGAGUUAGGGUCUUCCAGGCCCGACCUCCAACCCUUUGUAUAACUACCAUGUUGCUUUGGCGGGCCCGUCUCUAACCAGACCGUCGGGGGUUUGAACCCCUGGCCAGUGCUCGUCAGUAGCCCACCACAAAUUCUUUUAACCAUGUUAAAUCUGAAAUUAGUUAAAUAAACUAAAACUUUCAACAACGGAUCUCUUGGUUCAG